AUGGCUUUAGGGACGGACCUCCGUCCAAAUAGUUACUGGCAAUAUUUCUCCUGGUGCCACACUUUCCUUCCCUAUGGGAAGAAAUACUAUACUGUUGGCCUGGCGGCCGUUUGCUGGGCUAUCUGGUUAGCUAGAAAUCAAGCCACCUUUGAGAAGAAACAGAUUAAGACACCGUUUGAGAUUGUGUUUUCCGUGUGCUCCUUUUUGCUAUAUUGGGCAGGUCUUCAGCAAGGUGAUGGAGUCAAGGAGCUGCGCAGUGGGGCGGCGAUGGUCAGGUCAAGCACUAUGAGCAUGAUGAAGAUGUGCGAGGCGGCGAGGAGACCGAUCGAGGGAGAAUGA
This 339-nucleotide ribosomal RNA is filed under the name Triticum aestivum (bread wheat). RNAcentral describes it as "partial small subunit ribosomal RNA". Lineage: Eukaryota; Viridiplantae; Streptophyta; Magnoliopsida; Poales; Poaceae. The record is from RNAcentral.